RNAcentral lists this transfer RNA (67 nucleotides) under Marmota monax (woodchuck). Its description in RNAcentral is "tRNA.Ala". It matches the Rfam family "tRNA", at positions 6 to 65 of the family's 71-position model. From Rfam's summary of the family: Transfer RNA (tRNA) molecules are approximately 80 nucleotides in length. The record is from RNAcentral. Lineage: Eukaryota; Metazoa; Chordata; Mammalia; Rodentia; Sciuridae.
GGCUGUAGCUCAGUGGUAGAGUGCCCGCCUUGCACGCGUGAGGCACUGAGUUUGAUCCUCAGCACCA